GACGAACGCUGGCGGCGUGCCUAAUACAUGCAAGUAGAACGCUGAGGACUGGUGCUUGCACUGGUCUAAGGAGUUGCGAACGGGUGAGUAACGCGUAGGUAACCUACCUCAUAGCGGGGGAUAACUAUUGGAAACGAUAGCUAAUACCGCAUGACAAUAGGGUACACAUGUACCCUAUUUAAAAGGGGCAAAUGCUUCACUAUGAGAUGGACCUGCGUUGUAUUAGCUAGUCGGUAAGGUAACGGCUUACCAAGGCGACGAUACAUAGCCGACCUGAGAGGGUGAACGGCCACAAGGGGACUGAGACACGGCCCUU
This 316-nucleotide ribosomal RNA is filed under the name uncultured bacterium. RNAcentral describes it as "bacterial SSU rRNA". It matches the Rfam family "Bacterial small subunit ribosomal RNA", at positions 28 to 334 of the family's 1533-position model. The record is from RNAcentral.